Molecule: ribosomal RNA, 398 nt
Filed under: uncultured bacterium
Lineage: Bacteria
Description: bacterial SSU rRNA
Rfam family: Bacterial small subunit ribosomal RNA
Source: RNAcentral
AUAUUGCGCAAUGGGCGAAAGCCUGACGCAGCAAUUCCGCGUGGAGGAUGAAGGUUCUUGGAUCGUAAACUCCUUUCGGUGGUGACGAUUAUGACGGUAACCACAGAAGAAGCACCGGCUAACUACGUGCCAGCAGCAGCGGUAAUACGUAGGGUGCAAGCGUUGUUCGGAAUUACUGGGCGUAAAGCGCGCGUAGGCGGGUCUGAAUGUCGAUUGUGAAAGCCCUGGGCUUAACCUGGGAAUGGCAGUCGAAACUUCAGAUCUUGAAUGUCUGAGAGGAUGGCGGAAUAACCGGUGUAGUAGUGAAAUACGUAGAUAUCGGUUAGAACACCUGAGGCGAAGGCGGCUAUCUGGCGGUACAUUGACGCUAAGGCGCGAAAGCGUGGGGAGCAAACAGG